UAUUUGUAACUGUUAGCUCGCUUUUGCAACGUGGCGGUAUUCCCAGUAAAAAUUUUACUCAGCAUUAUAUAACUUACAAUAAUAUUUUUAAGGUUUUACCAGACCGGAGCAGUUUCAGUUUGCUAUGUGCCUGUGUUGUGACUAAGGAGAAAAAACAUUUCUUACUACGUUUUCAGUAUAGAAGGCCAUAGAAUAGUCUCAUUCAUUCAAAACAUUUGUAUUGCAUACUCACUAUGUUUCAAGCAGUGUUUUUCUGAUAUUUCCAUUGUGUCCUGAAAAAUGUAUCUUGUAAAAUGGCAUUUUGUAAUGGCAAACUUUUUAGAACAGUGAACAUGUAUGAACUUUUUUCAAAACAUCAUCUUUGCUGUAUGUCAAAAAAAGCAGGAAUUAGACAAACCCUCUGGUGAAUUUUAUGACUGAGAAUUGCUGGGAAUGAUUUGCUUAUUUAUUCAUACAUGAAAUAAAACAUUAUCUAAAAGAAAGGAAGAUGGCGUUGGUGUGAAACGCUGGUGUGUGGUUAUGUUUUGUGGAAUAGGAAACUUAGAUAUAUACAUUUAACAUCAUAUAUGUUACAGGCUGGUAGACAGUGAAGAUCUUUCACAGAGUUACAGAGUAAAAAUAUUCUUUACCCGGGUGAUAGCUGGAGGAUAUUUUAACUAAUUCACGUAUGGAGGACACUAAUUUGACUGCUCAAUCCUUGGAUAUCAGGAAAUUCAUAUCUCUUUAUUUCCUAAUGUUACAUUCACCUGCCUUGAGGCACCACACUCGUGUGUCGGGGGGAAUUCAAUCCCACCUGUUUUGUGGGCACUCUUCACACCCCCUGACUGAGGGGCAUACAAAAAUUCAGGGAUCUCAUGUGGUCCAGACCAUAGGGAAGGGCCUGCUUGUCUUCGGUCCACCCUGGCCACUUCUGAAAAGCUCCUCGUCUGGCGCUUGUGUCUUGGACCUCACUGGGUGGAGUGUCGCCAGCCCUGGGUCGGGAGUGAGGGGACAGCUCCGUGAGAACAGGUAGGUUCUGCUCUCAGGCACUGGGAGCCUGAGGUGGAGCUGAGGGCAGAAGAAGCCAAUGCUCUUAGGGCAAGAGCACGGAGAACAGAUGCUCUUCCCGGAGAGGAGCCUUCGGGAGGGAGUCGCCAGGCGGCCAGGGGAGCUGGUGCUCAGAUGUGGCAGGUUCCAGACCAUGACUGUGAAGCCCUCAGAUGCUUAUUCCAAAUCUUCCCACUUUUUAGCCCACAAAGCUACAGCCAAACCAGCCCCUGGCCCUGAAUGACUUCUCUAUAAACGCUGCUGUGUAAGUGCCUGAAAUUCGAUGUGCCAUGACUGAAUUCACUCACAUAAAUAUGUCAGUUAUAGAAAUGGUCCAAUCAAUUCGGGAAGAGUAGCAACAUGUGGUUUUUGGUACCUCACUGCAGGGAGAAAAACUUUCAGAGGAAGGAUAUUGCAGAUUGAAGAUUCUAAUAGAAAAUGUCUCUGCCCUCGCAACAUUGAAAUGCACGGACACGCCAUAAUUCAUCUUUGGAGAAACCAGCGAAGGCGUAGGGAGCUUAUUGGGGAUCCAGUAUGUAACCCUGGUCACUGUUCCAUCAUUCGGGCCUUUUACUCAUGGGUCUCCUUUCACACUUGUAACAAUCUCCAACCUACCUCUGCCACCAUCUUCCUUCCUCAUUCUUGCUUCUCCGACCCAAAGGAUCUGAGACAACCCAAAACUACAAAGACCUGGUUCUCCAUGAGGUGCCAUUCGGCUCACCUUGGCUGUCACCAGUACUUGGCAGGUCUUCCCUCCACUUGUCCUUGGCAGGUCUCCACAAGGGCUGUCCCACACAGUUCUCUCUCCUCGCCUCCCCCGCCCCCAGUCCUACCCGCUGAGAGUCAAGGCAGUAAAAUGUGUGAGCACAUGGGUGUGGACAUGAGCAGUUGAGCACUCACCAGCUGUAGGACCUUUGCCAAUUUCUUAACUGCAUCUGGAGAAUGAAGAUGAUAAUACAUAAAACGUAACCUCCAACAUUUGUGAGCCUACAGGAUAAUAUCUGGAAAGUCCCUAGUGUGUGAGGGCAGGGUUUUAUGAAUGUCAUCUGUGAUAGUGGGUAACCUCCCUUAAAAAGAAGGAACAACCUCAUUCCUCCUUUAUUUGGAAAACGAAGUGCCCUCUGAAUGUUGUCCUUAAUAUACUUGGUAUUAAUUUCCACGUAUCACUUUGUUUCCACCUAAUCGCCUUUUCCUUGAUGUACCUGCAAACCUGUGUUCUUGUCGUUGUUUAUCCCUGAGGUUCCUUGUCCCCACAAUUAUCCCGCCUUCUCUGCCAUCUUCCUUGGCCUGAGGCAAACUCUGAGACUCUUGAGCACAGUUUCGGAAGUGCUAUCCUCUCGGGUUUCCUUGUAUCACCCACUACCCUGUGCUGUGUUCUCCACUUUUUUCUGUGUUGUAGGCUAUGGUUCACUUCUUACUAUUCACUCUGAGAGUUUCCACAGGAUAUUGAGUCACAGAGUGUUGCUAACAUUUUGAGAAGAGCUAAUAACAGUUGGAGCCAGAUACUUCUCCAUGACUUACCAGGAGGAGGCAGAACUGCCCAGGUAACCAAGGUGCUGUUUGUCCUUUUCCAAAUAUAACAUCGCGGUUAGGAGCACACAUUUUUGGAGCCAGACUACCUGGGUUUGAGUUGGGUUAAAUAAAUCAAUUAUUAAGAAUGAUGGUGGUAUCUUUAUAAUUCACAUAAGGAUUCAACCAAGAAUCCUGUUUGAUGCAGUCAGCAAGGCAGGACGAUUUUUGUCCUAAAGGGGUUUCUUGGAUCCAUCCUUCUAAUCCCGUCGGUAUUUCUUUAUUCAGCGACUCCUUUGUGCCACCCAUUGUCUCAUUUGUGCCUCAUAAUAAGUUAGUGAUACAGAAGCUAUU
Molecule: long non-coding RNA, 2889 nt
Organism: Phyllostomus discolor (pale spear-nosed bat)
Lineage: Eukaryota; Metazoa; Chordata; Mammalia; Chiroptera; Phyllostomidae
Exons: 2
Source: RefSeq, a predicted model, not a curated record